CCUACGGGCGGCUGCAGUGAGGAAUAUUGGUCAAUGGACGCAAGUCUGAACCAGCCAUGCCGCGUGCAGGAUGACGGCCCUAUGAGUUGUAAACUGCUUUUGUACGAGGGUAAACCCCGAUACGUGUAUCGGGUUGAAAGUAUCGGACGAAUAAGCAUCGGCUAACUCCGUGCCAGCAGCCGCGGUAAUACGGAGGAUGCGAGCGUUAUACGGAUUUAUUGGGUUUAAAGGGUGCGUAGGCGGUUUGUUAAGUUAGAGGUGAAAUGGCGGGGCUCAACCCCGAAGCUGCCUCUAAUACUGUUGGACUAGGGAGGAGUGGCGGUAGGCGGAAUGUAUGGUGUAGCGGUGAAAUGCUUAGAGAUGAGACAGAACACGGAUUGCGAAGGCAGCUUACCGAGCUAUAUCGGACGUUGAGGCACGAAGGCGUGGGUAGCAAACAGAAUUAGAUACCCAGGAGUC
RNAcentral lists this ribosomal RNA (459 nucleotides) under uncultured bacterium. RNAcentral's name for it is "partial 16S ribosomal RNA". It matches the Rfam family "Bacterial small subunit ribosomal RNA", at positions 338 to 795 of the family's 1533-position model. The record is from RNAcentral.